CCUGGCGGCUGUAGCGCGGUGGUCCCACCUGAACCAUGCCGAACUCAGAAGUGAAACGCCGUAGCGCCGAUGGUAGUGUGGGGUCUCCCCAUGCGAGAGUAGGGAACUGCCAGGC
RNAcentral lists this ribosomal RNA (115 nucleotides) under Citrobacter freundii. The record is from RNAcentral. Lineage: Bacteria; Pseudomonadati; Pseudomonadota; Gammaproteobacteria; Enterobacterales; Enterobacteriaceae.